GAACACAGAAGUGGCUCACGGGCCGCAUUAUAAUGUCAUAUUGUGUAUCUAUAACUGAACAGACAACGGCAAAAUCUUAUCUAUUUGUAUUAUUAAUAAAAAGAUAAGCCUCAAAUUAAACAGGUAAACAGCUUACUUUUUAUCCACCCAAACAUUUGAAAAAGUCGGAAUUUUGAAAAUAUCACGCCUUACCUUAAGUCACGUGCUGUGUUGUGAUUGGCUGCACAAAACGGUGACGUAAUUCCUUGCGUCCGCCCUCUAAUAGAUAAUGGCUCUCGACCAAUGAAAGCGCUUGAAUUCUUAACGUUAUUAUAUAAUUUAGCAUGGCACCUAUAGCUAGCUAUGGUAACGUUAAGGUUAUAUCCCCAUGAUUGGUGCACAUGCAAAUAUGUUUCUCUUUGAUCUUGGUCACAAUCCUAUCCUUAACGCUAUUGUGCACGAAACAUGGGGAAUUACCAGAUGAAAACGAGGCCAUUGGGGCAAAACAGCUGCAUAGUCCAUUAUUGAAUGCGUCAUUAUGGUCAAUUGAAUGUGUUCGAGUACAAUAAUGAGUUUAUCAAAGAAUUAACAUAUUAUUUCCCGAGGGAAGAGAUAUUAAGUGUUUUGUUAUAUAGGAACGAAGAGAAAAUCUACAUCUACACAAAACAAUUGUAUUUCAUGAAUAAAACUCGGUAUUGUAAAUUAUUUUAGCACCAAAAGAACCUGAUAAAAAGCGUUUCAGCAGCAUUUCUAAUUGUUGCAUGUUUGGAAUUGGAAAAAAUUCUUUCUAAACCUUUUACUCAAUUUUGAUAAUUUGGGUACGUAGCCGGUCGGAGCGAACAACAAUUUUUCGCUUGUUGCCCGACAGGAUACAUUACAUUUACCUAAAUCCACGUGAGCACAAAUCAGCCAAUCACGUUUAGUUACAUAUAUUAUUUAGCUCACUCCCCAACGGGGCUUUUCAAUGACCGAUUACAUCAAGUAUUACGCUUACGUAUUACCAUGGAUUGUAAAAUAACUGGAUAGGAAACUUCCUGACGUCACAGUCUAAACCUAGUUGCAAUCUGUGACGUCAUGUGUAUUACCAAAUUUCUCAGCAUUUUUGUUGUUUCGCUAUAUUUUCCGC
Non-coding RNA from Paramuricea clavata, 1105 nucleotides. The record is from the annotation of a GenBank genome assembly. NCBI's taxonomy places the organism in Eukaryota, Metazoa, Cnidaria, Anthozoa, Malacalcyonacea, Plexauridae.